UUUCUUUUGCUGUGAGCCCCUCCCGUGGAAAGAGGUGAGCCAUUGCAGAAGCCAUUUCAGUUUCCAAAUCAAUCGGAUACAAAGAAGCCCAGGAUGUAAAACUGAUACAGAUCUUGGAGUCAUCAGGUCUAAGCCACCAAAGCUGCACAGUGACUGUCUAUCACCAAGUGCAGGCCACGUUUGUUUGCUCAACGUGAAAUGGCUACCACUGGAACAAUAGGUACGGUUGAAUGCCAGCUUCUGCUUCUCAUCUGCUGCCGUUCUGUCAGAUGCGUCUGCCUGGGGCACUCUAAAGAGGACUGGAAAUGCCUCAGGCCACACCACUUGAUGAGGAGAGUGGAUUCUGACUUACCGUGGCUCGGACUGACCUUUUAUAUCUCAGAUCUAGAAUUUUAUUUUUUAAUUAUAAAAAUCUAGUAGGACCUUCAACUAUCACUAUUUCAAUGCAAGGGGCUUGAACUUAGUUCCUGGCAUGAUCAAGGACAGGCAGCUGAUCCUAUUGUUAUGUUGCUAUAUAUCUGCUACCUUGAACUUGGUUAUUAAACACUAACAUUUAUGACUCUAAA
RNAcentral lists this long non-coding RNA (566 nucleotides) under Rattus norvegicus (Norway rat). RNAcentral's name for it is "long non-coding RNA NONRATT008799". Lineage: Eukaryota; Metazoa; Chordata; Mammalia; Rodentia; Muridae. The record is from RNAcentral.